Molecule: long non-coding RNA, 645 nt
Organism: Neomonachus schauinslandi (Hawaiian monk seal)
Lineage: Eukaryota; Metazoa; Chordata; Mammalia; Carnivora; Phocidae
Exons: 4
Source: RefSeq, a predicted model, not a curated record
AAGCGUCCGAUGCAGAAACACCGUGGGUCUCGAUGACUGGGUUGGAGAUGUUCCGUCGCCCGAACGAGCAAGUUCAGCCCGCCUCCGCUGAGUCAGGAAUGGGGAAUCUCUGGAUCCAGCUACCUGGCCGAGUUGUCCUAAGCGCUGGAGAGACACAGCCCUGCAAAGGAAUUCGUGGAAGUCUUGCAUCCAUUUUAGAAGGCGCGUAAAAUGAGACGACUGAGGGCCCGGAAGACACACAAGGCACAGACUUGAAAGGAGAAGGUGGUGCUGUCGGUGGGGAUGAGCCUGGAAAGUUGUGUUUUUCACUGUGCGUUAUUUCCGUGAUGAGCUGUUGAUGGAACGUGCAUCGUGACCUGAGCGGACCACGAACGAAGCCACCUGAUUCCCCUCUCAUGGAAGAAAUUAUUCGUGUUCACCGGAGACUUGCAUGUGUGCAUCCGAAUCAUCCCCAGCCUUGAUGCGAUCUCCACCAUGCUCGUCGCCGUCCAUGAGUCACGGUUAUUUUGUUGCUGGUGGUGGCGGAGGCCACCGGGUGGAUGAGGGGAUGAGGUCAGCGUUCAUGGGGACUGAUGCUCCCGCUCUUUCCGUCCGCUGCUCAAGGACACACGUCCCGCUCCAUCUCCCUUCCUCUGACGUGGACAC